Molecule: long non-coding RNA, 1146 nt
Filed under: Cyanistes caeruleus (blue tit)
Lineage: Eukaryota; Metazoa; Chordata; Aves; Passeriformes; Paridae
Description: lncRNA (ENSCCEG00000007461.1)
Source: RNAcentral
AUGCUCCAGAGUUUAUCUUUAAUCCAGGCCCUUCUGACAACAGGAAGAGAGCAGAGAAGCACCUUUGACAAGGCACUGAGGAACUGCAGAGGAACUCCCUCUCCAAGCCUCAUUUUCUGUGUAUUUUCUGAGACCUUUGAAGGCCUGGCUGAGGAUGUUGCUCUGAAGAACAGGACUCCAGCUCCAUUUGCAGCUGUCUUGGUGCUGCCCUCCCUGUGCUGGACAGCUGAAGUCCUGCCCUGGAGUCACACAAAGCUUCCUUAGAGUGACAGCAAGGCCAUCAAAGGGAUAGCAGGACCUCAGCUGGCUGUCCCUGAGCAGGAAACCUCUUUAAAAUACACCUCCUUCAAGGUUUGUCCCCCAAAGAAGCAGCCUGAGCUCUGAAAUGAGUUGAUUAUCCCUGAGACCAGCGUUCUGGUGGGACUCCAUGAACUCCUUUUAUUUUUUUUUAUUUAUUUUGGUAAGCCUCCACAAAAAAAAAAACAACUGAAUCUCUCCAAACAACACCUCUCCCCUCAGGUUAUUCCUGUUGCUGCUCUCAAGGGGUCACAAGCAAGCAAAGACCUGAGCUUUCCAGCCAAAAAAAAGUCCAGUUUUUAUGUUAUUAUUUAUUCUUCUGAAAGUGAAACCUGUGAUUUCCAGCAGGGAGUUGGAGAGCUGUGACCCAGCAGGUAUUUCCUCUGCCCCAAGCCCAGCUCUUGCCAGAACUGCACCCAAACAGCAAUCCAGGCCCUUUGGGGGAAAUUUCAGGCCGCAUCCAGAACAUUCAUUAGUGCAAUUAAAGCCAUUAGCUGGUUCUGAGGCCACGUCCUGACUCAGCCAGGGCCUGGGGUUUGCUGCACACGCCCUGAACUCCUCCACUGCACAGAAGUGAUGUUUAGUGUUUAGGUUUUGAUCCUGCCUCGUAAGAACACGAUAGUCCCUGAGGGCUCUGAGGGAAGCCAACCAGCCCUUAUCAAUCAGGAGAAGACGCUGCAGCUCAAAUUCCCGUCGAUAGAGAAGCCAGAUUGAGAAUGUAAUUAUCCUAAUUAAUUUUAUAUCUGGAACUCAUCUCCUUUCACACAAACAGCAGUUUCCAAGCAGGCCACCGGCUUUUUUUUUUUGCACAGAGCAGUGGUUUUAUCUUCUUGAGGGGCCUGUUGGCAA